UGUUUAAGAAGGAACUGCAGAUGGUGGAAAAUCAAAGAGAAGCAAGAAUUUGUUUUACUUCUUGGGACUGAAGACCUGUCCGAAGUGCCAAUUAUACCAAUGGGCAUUAUGCUUAGCCACGUGAAUUCAAUGGCCUACAUAUGGGGAAAUUUUUUAUUCAGCAGUUACAAUCAUGGCACCACAUGGUUCGCUAUUCCAGGAGUACCGCCUCAUUCUCUCAUCCGCUAUUUUACCCAUUCGUGGAAUGGAGAUUUUAUCUUUAUGACUGACCUUGAAGAAUUGUGGUAUGGUAGAGAUGGUUUUUCAAGGCUAAUUCGCCUUCGUCCUUCAAGAGGUUGGGUUACUUUCCUGGCCAUGCAGAAGAUAAAAGGCAUAAAUGACCAUUACAAAAGUGAGACAACAUUAACUGUCUUCUUUGACAGGCGAAAGCAGUUACAAGAGGCAAGUAUGAUGACUUUUGGGCAUUAUUUAUAUUUCUUUUUAUUCACCUGGUAACACAUCAAUGCUUGAUCAGUGCCAAGACCAUGAAAUUCCUUCCUUCACUACAUCCAAGGACCCAAGCAGUCUUUCCAAGCGAGGCAGAGGUUCAC
This is a long non-coding RNA of Amblyraja radiata (thorny skate), 590 nucleotides long. RefSeq lists it as uncharacterized. The transcript is spliced from 4 exons. The record is from RefSeq and is a predicted model, not a curated record. Lineage: Eukaryota; Metazoa; Chordata; Chondrichthyes; Rajiformes; Rajidae.